UGGCACCGUUGGUCUCGCGAAGGCCAGUUGGUCCUCUUUCCUCGGCUCGCCGGCCCCCUCCGCACACAGCAGAGAACCGCGCUCGGGUCAGGGUGGGACAGCCCGGAGGAGGCCGUGAGCCCCACCCGGCCCAGCCCGCAAAAGAGCCUUGCACGGGGGGCCUCCGGGUAGAGGGCACUGAUCAGAGCGCAGAAGCCCGUCGAAGGCGGGUUUGAGGCCGCGUGGGCAUGCGAGUGAGGAAACUGCCAGGACCCCGGUCGAGGACGUGGCCGGAUGGAGAGCGAGUCAGUUUAUCUGGGAAGCUGCCGCGGGCUUGCGGAGUGAGCUUCUGGUGAACGUUUGCACCUCGGAGGACAGAAGAGGUUUGCUCCAGCAGACACUUCACCUCACGGUCUGUGCAUUUCUAAAUUGGUGGCUGCUCAGAGAACCCAAGGUGGAGUCUUGGGGACACUAUGAUAAAGGCUGUUGUGAGGCUGGUCCCUGGCCCCUGCUCUGGAGUCUAGCUUCCUUCUGACACAUAAAGGAUGGAUGCAGCACCUCGGAGACAGGCCAGGACCUGUCUCUGCCCUUAGCCAGAGACCGCCUGGAACAAAGUUGGAUUGACUGAUUUGUUGCGAUGAGGGAGACUGCGUACGUGUCUAGAUGGGGAAGUCCUGGGGCAUCUCAGUCCGGGGCUGUUACAGAGGACUCAUAACAGAACUGUGUUAAAUACUGUGGGGGCAGUUUCAAGGAAGCCGGAUCAAUUCCAUGAUUGGGUAUCUCAAUUUUUAGUUAGCAGCUGAGACGAAGGCAGCGGAGCUAAAACUGUGGUUGGUAAAGAGACAGCCAUCACCUGUGUUAGCCAAGGGUGGGGGACGUUGGGCGGUUUUUGUGGUUGACACGGUGGCCUGGAUUUUGUCUGUCCUCAGACAUGACUGUGGGAUGGUCCCGUUUUGUCACACCUCGCCUGAUGUGAUCUGUGAAAUCGGCUCUGUUAAGCAGCAGAACUUCGCAGUCCAGCGGUGAGCCCCUGGCUGGUUGGAGCUGCUGCCAGGGGCUACUUUUCCCUUUCUCACUGCAAAGGCAAAGCCUUGACCUUCAAGUUGCAGCCUUCUCUAUCCUAGUCUCAUAUCUUCAUGGUGGGAUAAGGAUCAUCCCAUUGGAAGAGGAAGAAAGGAUGGAUAAGAAUAAGGAGGGGGAUUUGUCGGAGGGAAAUAGCAGCUUAGCUUAAAGUAUUCCGCCCUCUGUCACCUGAACAGAUCCAGGGUUCCCUUCCUCUAUCUGGAUAGAAUGGGAUUCCAAAGCCAUGUUGGCAGGGGCAGGAAGCAGGGUGGGGGAAUUAGGAUAUCAUUGCCAUGCAGGUGCCUUCUGAAUUAUUGGAGGAAGUCCCAGUAAAGUGGGGAAGGCAAUAAGGAGUGGCCAUUCUUAGUACAGAUAAUCCUCACUUAGAAAUACAAUCCACUGUCUUAGGAAACCUAGGGGGUGUGAUCAUACCUCCCAGUUUUCUGGUACAUCCAGUCAUACUACCUUUAAGUAUUAUGACUAUUCAAUUACCUGGGAUGUAGUUUUGCUACCGACGAUCUUGUUGUAUACAAUUAAUUGUUUUAGUGAAGGGAAUCCAUUGCUUGUCUGAUCCUCUGAGGAGUAGACAGCAAAGUGGGAUUAGAAGUGCAAGAGGGUUAUUUGGGGAAACACCUGUGAGGGAUCAAGGGUUUGAGGGAGCAGGAGCGGGCAGGGGGAGCCCUCUGCAAUACAGGCCCAGCCCCCCCUGCUUAAGCAGAAAGGGAGAGAAGGACGGAGGAGGAAGGGCCACAGGCCACAGUGCAAUUCUGAGAAAACCUUGGCCAGGCUGCUGGGAACUCCCCAGGCUGAACUUCCCCAUUAGAGGAGUCCCGAAGUCGUCCUGGGUGGGAAGAGUAUGGCACCGGGGCCCCUGCCGUUCUCAGUCAUUGCCCAGAGGCAGCCUGGCCUCCUGUCCCAGGGGGUGGGGGGGCAGCCGAGGCUGUCAGUCCGCAAGCUCUCUUCCAGCCAUUGGCAAGCUCUCUUUGCAGCCAGCGGAGCCGCGGCCCCGGGGGCCCACAUGGGACUUCGGCAGCACCACUGAAUCACUGAACCAAUUUAAAUCCUCCUAGAAGCGGGGGCCACGAUGGGCUUAGACGUGCAAGAGCUUUAUUGAGGGAGAUGGCCCUGAGGAUCAAAGGGGGGAUGAGAGGAGGGGAGGAAAAAAAAAACAAACCCCCACACAAAUGUGAUACAACCUGUGUGCU
Long non-coding RNA from Ailuropoda melanoleuca (giant panda), 2246 nucleotides. RefSeq lists it as uncharacterized. NCBI's taxonomy places the organism in Eukaryota, Metazoa, Chordata, Mammalia, Carnivora, Ursidae. The transcript is spliced from 3 exons. The record is from RefSeq and is a predicted model, not a curated record.